This is a non-coding RNA of Musa acuminata subsp. malaccensis (wild Malaysian banana), 756 nucleotides long. Lineage: Eukaryota; Viridiplantae; Streptophyta; Magnoliopsida; Zingiberales; Musaceae. The record is from RefSeq and is a predicted model, not a curated record.
CCAGGCAUGGUCAAAACGAUGGUGAGCAAGUUGCUCUGGUUCAGAGUGGGCAGCACAUCUGAUGUUCAGCAAGCCGGACCGAGUAAAGCCCACUCACGAGAGAUUGGGCCGGAUCUGGUCAAACCUAACCCGUUCAUUUCAGUUUCGGAUCACCAUCCUUGUCUCCAACCGUGGGCAACAAACACAAAGGCAUCGAUGGACCGGUUACAAUCAUAGCCGUCCUUAUUGUCAUCAUCAGCAGCAUCUCGGAACUCGACUCCUCCUCGUCGCAUAUAAGUCAUUCAAGAAUUGAAUCAAGCUUCUGUCUCUCUCUCUCUCUCGGCCAAGCGCGCCCAGAGAGAGACGGCAGCGAGAUACAGAGGAAAGGGGCGGGAGGGGGAGGAAUCCAAGAAACCCUCGCCACCGGACCAGGGGGUGACGCUUGGCGAUGGCUUCCAAGCGGAUUCUCGAGGAGCUCAAGGAUCUCCAGAAGGGCCUCCAUACGUCUUGCAGCGCAGAUGUUUAAUUAUUAGCGUCGUGUUGAUCUUCUGACUCGAAUUCCUCAUAUCCUCCUUGCGUCUACCUUCUAUUUUGAUUUAGAUGGAGAUUGCUUGGACGCAGGGCUGUACCACUCUGUGAUAGAAUUUCUUUACCUCCAUAGAUAAUUGGGUAUCGAUUCAGGAUAAGAUGAUAUAAAACGAUUGCACUUCUUUUAAUGACAAUUUCAUCUCAAAAACUGUCAUCUAGGUAUUUGAUCUACUUGCACAUACAAGAAGG